Molecule: long non-coding RNA, 707 nt
Filed under: Homo sapiens (human)
Lineage: Eukaryota; Metazoa; Chordata; Mammalia; Primates; Hominidae
Description: HSALNT0290165
Source: RNAcentral
GUGGAGGGAAGGUCAGCAGAUAAACAAGUGAACAAAGGUCUCUGGUUUUCCUAGGCAGAGGACCCUGCGGCCUUCCGCAGUGUUUGUGUCCCUGGGUACUUGAGAUUAGGGAGUGGUGAUGACUCUCAACGAGCACGCUGCCUUCAAGCAUCUGUUUAACAAAGCACAUCUUGCACCGCCCUUAAUCCAUUUAACUCUGAGUGGACACAGCACAUGUUUCAGAGAGCACAGGGUUGGGGGUAAGGUCACAGAUCAACAGGAUCCCAAGGCCGAAGAAUUUUUCUUAGUACAGAACAAAAUGAAAAGUUUCCCAUGUCUACUUCUUUCUACACAGACACGGCAACCAUCCAAUUUCUCAGUCUUUUCCCCACCUUUCCCCCCUUUCUAUUCCACAAAACCGCCAUUGUCAUCAUGGCCCGUUCUCAAUGAGCUGUUGGGUACACCUCCCAGACGGGGUGGCGGCCGGGCAGAGGGGCUCCUCACUUCCCAGUAGGGGCGGCCGGGCAGAGGCGCCCCUCACCUCCCGGACGGGGCGGCUGUCGGCCACUUUCAAUCAGCCCAACCUCAGAGAUGACAACAACAAAGUUGGCCAACCAGUGGACCAGGGUCCCCUGGGGGUCACCCCUGACACAGUCUCCCAUCCACUGCAGUCCCCUGAGUUGGCACUGCCUGCCUCCCAGAUGGUGGACUCACUCAAGACACCCGAG